This 622-nucleotide long non-coding RNA is filed under the name Bemisia tabaci. Its description in RNAcentral is "lncRNA ENSSSA1NGG009271". Lineage: Eukaryota; Metazoa; Arthropoda; Insecta; Hemiptera; Aleyrodidae. The record is from RNAcentral.
UCUUGUUACACUUUUGAAUUGUUCACAUUAGCUCGAGCUCGAGGAGUGAUCAGGAAAUUGUUUGGUGUGCAGAUUUGCUGUGUUUUAAAGGAAAAUUUCACCUGCGCUCACUGGAUCUUGAACUUGCGCCUUAUUUCAGAGAACUUCGUUCACAAUUUAAUGGAAGGCGAAUAUCUUGUUAUGAAAACUAUGCCCAACUCGGAAAAAUGAAAAUUCUAUUUUAUUGCAGAAAAGUCGUUCUAAGGGUUAGCAUUUUCUAUUUACUUUCCUCAAAAACAAUUUUUUCCCGUUCCACAUUAAAAUAACAUGUUCUUACUGAAUAUUCUCGGCCUAAUCCAGUCUUUUCGUUUUUUAUUUAUUUUUCUUAAAGUUGGACACUUUUCAGAAGAAGCCAUUCAAGUACACUCUUAGAAAUCUUGCAAUUCACUUAUUGUUAGUAGCCUAUUUUGCCUCUAGAAAACUCACAUGACGUGAAGGAAAAGGGAACCACGUUCCGUAAGAGCGAAAUUCACACCAUAGGAGUGGGGUCUACUCCGCAAAAAUAAUCAAUCCCGCCUCAUACUUAUAUUGCUUGGAGUUUUGGGGGGCAACAUAGGCUUUGAGUAAAUUGCACUCCAUGCAG